This 464-nucleotide ribosomal RNA is filed under the name uncultured bacterium. RNAcentral describes it as "partial 16S ribosomal RNA". It matches the Rfam family "Bacterial small subunit ribosomal RNA", at positions 338 to 795 of the family's 1533-position model. The record is from RNAcentral.
CCUACGGGUGGCAGCAGUGGGGAAUAUUGCGCAAUGGGCGAAAGCCUGACGCAGCGACGCCGCGUGAGGGAUGAAGGUCUUCUGAUCGUAAACCUCUGUCAGCAGGGAAGAACGGUCACUGUGCUAAUCAUCAUUGCAUUGACGGUACCUGCAAAGGAAGCAUCGGCUCACUCCGUGCCAGCAGCCGCGGUGAUACGGAGGAUGCGAGCGUUAUCCGGAUUUAUUGGGUUAAAGGGGUGCGUAGGCGGGCUGUUAAGUCAGCGGUAAAAGCCCGGGGCUCAACCCCGGAGAGCCGUUGAAACUGGCUGUCUUGAGAGGUCGAGAGGUAGGCGGAAUGCGUAGUGUAGCGGUGAAAUGCUUAGAUAUUGCGCAGAACUCCGAUUGCGAAGGCAGCAUACUGGGGGAGAUCUGACGCUGAGGCACGAAAGCGUGGGUAUCGAACAGGAUUAGAUACCCUAGUAGUC